GCCCGAAUAAGCCCAGGAAUAGUCUUUAAACUGCCAUUUAAGGUUGUUUUCUUUAACAUUUUAUGUUUAAGGGCAAGUUGUACGUUAUACUAUUUAUAUUUAUACGUAUAUUUUUGAAGAAUAGCUGAAUAUAUGUGGAACAUUUGAAUCAAAACAUGUAGCACUGGCAAGUGUUUUUCGAUGUUUAUUGUUGUUUUUUUCGCAGUUUGGUCGGAGAAAAGUACAAUUCGG
Paramuricea clavata is the source of this 231-nucleotide non-coding RNA. NCBI's taxonomy places the organism in Eukaryota, Metazoa, Cnidaria, Anthozoa, Malacalcyonacea, Plexauridae. The record is from the annotation of a GenBank genome assembly.